CUAAACUUUGCGCUAUUUACUGAAUACUCUCUGGUCAAUUCCCUCCACUCAUUAGAGUGAGUAAAAAUGUGGCUAAACCUGGUGUCCAUACUAGUACUCCUCAAAGGAGUCCAAUCUCAAGUACAGUUGGUGGAGUCUGGAGGGGGUGUGAGAAGACCUGGAGAGUCCCUCCGUCUCACCUGCCAAAGUUCUGGGUUCACCUUCAGCAGCUAUUGGAUGCACUGGGUGAGACAGGCUCCAGGGAAAGGACUGGAAUGGGUUGCACUCAUUUAUACUGAUUCCAGUGGAAAGUUCUACUCAGACAAAGUGAAGGGCCGCUUCACCAUCUCCAGGGACAAUGCCAAAAGCCAGCUGUAUCUGCAAAUGAACAGCCUCAAAGCUGAAGACACGGGAGUCUAUUACUGUGCGAGACACACAGUGAGAGGAAGUGAAUCCUGGAAUGGAAUGUUCUCCUUUGAUAUCAUGGGGGAAGGAUGGAAAGGAUAA
Non-coding RNA from Ahaetulla prasina, 486 nucleotides. NCBI's taxonomy places the organism in Eukaryota, Metazoa, Chordata, Lepidosauria, Squamata, Colubridae. The record is from the annotation of a RefSeq genome assembly.